This 254-nucleotide ribosomal RNA is filed under the name uncultured Eubacteriales bacterium. RNAcentral describes it as "uncultured Clostridiales bacterium partial 16S ribosomal RNA". It matches the Rfam family "Bacterial small subunit ribosomal RNA", at positions 524 to 776 of the family's 1533-position model. The record is from RNAcentral. Lineage: Bacteria; Bacillati; Bacillota; Clostridia; Eubacteriales.
UACGUAGGGGGCAAGCGUUGUUCGGAAUGACUGGGCGUAAAGGGUGUGUAGGUGGUUUGAUAAGUUAGAUGUGUAAUACCCAGGGCUUAACUCGGGUGCUGCAUCUAAAACUGUUAGACUUGAGUACUGGAGAGGAUAGUGGAAUUCCUAGUGUAGCGGUGGAAUGCGUAGAUAUUAGGAGGAACACCAGUGGCGAAGGCGACUUUCUGGACUGUACCUGACGCUGAGGCGCGAAAGCGUGGGUAGCGAACGGG